CCUACGGGAGGCAGCAGUGGGGAAUAUUGGGCAAUGGGCGCAAGCCUGACCCAGCAACGCAGCGUGAAGGAAGAAGGCUUUCGGGUUGUAAACUUCUUUUCUCAGGGACGAAGCAAGUGACGGUACCUGAGGAAUAAGCCACGGCUAACUACGUGCCAGCAGCCGCGGUAAUCCGUCGGUGGCAAGCGUUAUCCGGAUUUACUGGGUGUAAAGGGCGUGUAGGCGGGAAAGCAAGUCAGAUGUGAAAACCAUGGGCUCAACCUGUGGCCUGCAUUUGAAACGGUUUUUCUUGAGUACUGGAGAGGCAGACGGAAUUCCUGGGGUAGCGGUGAAAUGCGUAGAUAUUAGGAGGAACACCAGUGGCGAAGGCGGUCUGCUGGACAGCAACUGACGCUGAGGCGCGAAAGCGUGGGGAGCAAACAGGAUUAGAUACCCCUGUAGUC
RNAcentral lists this ribosomal RNA (443 nucleotides) under uncultured bacterium. RNAcentral's name for it is "partial 16S ribosomal RNA". It matches the Rfam family "Bacterial small subunit ribosomal RNA", at positions 338 to 795 of the family's 1533-position model. The record is from RNAcentral.